This 478-nucleotide ribosomal RNA is filed under the name uncultured bacterium. RNAcentral's name for it is "partial 16S ribosomal RNA". It matches the Rfam family "Bacterial small subunit ribosomal RNA", at positions 28 to 523 of the family's 1533-position model. The record is from RNAcentral.
GACGAACGCUGGCGGCGUGCUUAACACAUGCAAGUCGAACGGUAAGGCCCUUCGGGGUACACGAGUGGCGAACGGGUGAGUAACACGUGGGUGAUCUGCCCUGCACUUCGGGAUAAGCCUGGGAAACUGGGUCUAAUACCGGAUAGGUCCAUUGCCUGCAUGGGUGGUGGUGGAAAGCUCUUGCGGUGUGGGAUGGGCCCGCGGCCUAUCAGCUUGUUGGUGGGGUGAUGGCCUACCAAGGCGACGACGGGUAGCCGGCCUGAGAGGGUGACCGGCCACACUGGGACCGAGAUACGGCCCAGACUCCUACGGGAGGCAGCAGUGGGGAAUAUUGCACAAUGGGCGCAAGCCUGAUGCAGCGACGCCGCGUGAGGGAUGACGGCCUUCGGGCUGUAAACCUCUUUCAGCACCGACGAAGCGCAAGUGACGGUAGGUGCAGAAGAAGGACCGGCCAACUACGUGCCAGCCGCCGCGGUAA